This 746-nucleotide ribosomal RNA is filed under the name uncultured Oribacterium sp. RNAcentral describes it as "bacterial SSU rRNA". It matches the Rfam family "Bacterial small subunit ribosomal RNA", at positions 28 to 776 of the family's 1533-position model. The record is from RNAcentral. Lineage: Bacteria; Bacillati; Bacillota; Clostridia; Lachnospirales; Lachnospiraceae.
GAUGAACGCUGGCGGCGUGCCUAACACAUGCAAGUCGAACGGGAUGCGUAUCGGAAAGCUUCGGCCGGAAGAUACGUUAUCUAGUGGCGGACGGGUGAGUAACACGUGGGUAACCUGCCUUAUGGAGGGGGAUAACAGAGAGAAAUCACUGCUAAUACCGCAUAAGCACACAGUACCGCAUGGUACAGGGUGAAAAGAUUUAUCGCCAUAAGAUGGACCCGCGUCUGAUUAGCCAGUUGGCAGGGUAAAAGCCUACCAAAGCAACGAUCAGUAGCCGAUCUGAGAGGAUGACCGGCCACAUUGGGACUGAGACACGGCCCAAACUCCUACGGGAGGCAGCAGUGGGGAAUAUUGCACAAUGGGGGAAACCCUGAUGCAGCGACGCCGCGUGAGUGAAGAAGUAUUUCGGUAUGUAAAGCUCUAUCAGCAGGGAAGAUAAUGACAGUACCUGACUAAGAAGCCCCGGCUAACUACGUGCCAGCAGCCGCGGUAAUACGUAGGGGGCAAGCGUUAUCCGGAUUUACUGGGUGUAAAGGGAGCGUAGACGGAGUGGCAAGUCUGAAGUGAAAACCCUGGGCUUAACCUAGGGACUGCUUUGGAAACUGUUAAUCUAGAGUGUUGGAGAGGUAAGUGGAAUUCCUGGUGUAGCGGUGAAAUGCGUAGAUAUCAGGAAGAACACCGGAGGCGAAGGCGGCUUACUGGACAAUAACUGACGUUGAGGCUCGAAAGCGUGGGGAUCAAACAGG